RNAcentral lists this ribosomal RNA (497 nucleotides) under uncultured bacterium. RNAcentral's name for it is "partial 16S ribosomal RNA". It matches the Rfam family "Bacterial small subunit ribosomal RNA", at positions 29 to 507 of the family's 1533-position model. The record is from RNAcentral.
UAUUAACGCUGGCGGCGUGCCUAAUACAUGCAAGUCGAGCGAACAGAUAAGGAGCUUGCUCCUUUGACGUUAGCGGCGGACGGGUGAGUAACACGUGGAUAACCUACCUAUAAGACUGGGAUAACUUCGGGAAACCGGAGCUAAUACCGGAUAACAUAUUGAACCGCAUGGUUCAAUAGUGAAAGGCGGCUUUGCUGUCACUUAUAGAUGGAUCCGCGCCGUAUUAGCUAGUUGGUAAGGUAACGGCUUACCAAGGCAACGAUACGUAGCCGACCUGAGAGGGUGAUCGGCCACACUGGAACUGAGACACGGUCCAGACUCCUACGGGAGGCAGCAGUAGGGAAUCGUCCGCAAUGGGCGAAAGCCUGACGGAGCAACGCCGCGUGAGUGAUGAAGGUCUUCGGAUCGUAAAACUCUGUUAUCAGGGAAGAACAAAUGUGUAAGUAACUGUGCACAUCUUGACGGUACCUGAUCAGAAAGCCACGGCUAACUACGUG